ACACCAAUGCUUUGAGUUUAUAUUUAUAUAGUAUAAAAUAAAGUGAUAAUUGUAUUAGUUAAUUAGAACUAAUGAGGAUAGCAAUAGUAGGUAAAAUUUAAUUGCUGUUAUUAAUUAUAUAGUUCUAUUAAAAAUUCUUUGAAAAUAAGAUUUAAAUAAACUAGGAUUAGAGACCCUAUUAUUCUUUAUUUUAAAAAUUUUGUUACUUAAGUAGUAUAAAUAUGAACAUAAUAUAUAUAUAUAUAUAUAUAGUUCUUUAAUUGUUUGAAACUUAAAAGGCUUGGCGGUGUUAUAUAUCCUACCAGGGGAGCUUGCUUAUUAAUUUGAUAAUCCUCAAUUUAUACUUACUUUUUUUUGAAUUAUAACAGUUUGUGUAUUGCUGUCGUCAGUUUAUUUUGUAAAAAUUUUGGAAAAAACUAAAUAAUGUUGUAAUUAUG
This 437-nucleotide ribosomal RNA is filed under the name Illex argentinus (Argentinian squid). RNAcentral's name for it is "partial 12S rRNA". Lineage: Eukaryota; Metazoa; Mollusca; Cephalopoda; Oegopsida; Ommastrephidae. The record is from RNAcentral.